Molecule: ribosomal RNA, 253 nt
Filed under: uncultured bacterium
Lineage: Bacteria
Description: partial 16S ribosomal RNA
Rfam family: Bacterial small subunit ribosomal RNA
Source: RNAcentral
UACGUAGGGGGCAAGCGUUAUCCGGAUUUACUGGGUGUAAAGGGAGCGUAGACGGCAUGGCAAGCCAGAUGUGAAAUACCGGGGCUCAACCCCGGGACUGCAUUUGAAACUGUUAAGCUGGGGUGUCGGAGAGGCAGGCGGAAUUCCUAGUGUAGCGGUGAAAUGCGUAGAUAUUAGGAGGAACACCAGUGGCGAAGGCGGCCUGCUGGACGAUAACUGACGUUGAGGCUCGAAAGCGUGGGGAGCAAACAGG